ACCGCGUGUGCGAUGAAGGCCUUCGGGUUGUAGAGCACUUUUCGAGAGGAAGAGGAAGGACGGUACUCUCGGAAUAAGUCUCGGCUAACUACGUGCCAGCAGCCGCGGUAAAACGUAGGAGGCGAACGUUAUCCGGAUUUACUGGGCGUAAAGCGCGUGUAGGUGGUUUGGUAAGUAGGGCGUGAAAGCUCCUGGCUCAACUAGGAGAGGUCGUUCUAAACUGCCAGACUUGAGGAUGGUAGAGGGAGGUGGAAUUCCGGGUGUAGUAGUGAAAUGCGCAGAUAUUCGGAGGAACACCAGUGGCGAAAGCGGCCUCCUGGACCACACCUGACACUCAGACGCGAAAGCUAGGGUAGCAAACGGGAUUAGAGACCCCGGUAGUCCUAGCCGUAAACGAUGUAGACUUGACGUUGGUGGUUUAAUAUCCAUCAGUGUCGUAGCUAACGCGAUAAGUCUACCGCCUGGGGACUACGGCCGCAAGGUUAAAACUCAAAGGAAUU
Molecule: ribosomal RNA, 500 nt
Filed under: uncultured bacterium
Lineage: Bacteria
Description: bacterial SSU rRNA
Rfam family: Bacterial small subunit ribosomal RNA
Source: RNAcentral